CGACAGGUAAUUUGGAGCUUAGUGAAAGUUUGACAAAGAGAAGAAAAAAUGCCCAAGCAUUAAUGAAGAUCCAUGGAAGUGGCCUAUAAAAGGAGGGGGGUUGCAAGCCAUUCAAGCCAUUAAAGCAAUUCAUUAAGCAUUAGAGAAGACACUUACAUUGGAGAAGCCAUGCAUUUUCAUUAGAAGAGAGAGCCAUUCAAGUUUCAUUUCAAGCAAUUCACUUUCAAGAGAGCAUUGAAGCAUUCACUUUCAUUAGAGUGGGGGG
This 265-nucleotide unclassified non-coding RNA is filed under the name Hevea brasiliensis (rubber tree). Lineage: Eukaryota; Viridiplantae; Streptophyta; Magnoliopsida; Malpighiales; Euphorbiaceae. The record is from RNAcentral.